Camelus dromedarius (Arabian camel) is the source of this 1043-nucleotide long non-coding RNA. RefSeq lists it as uncharacterized. The transcript is spliced from 3 exons. The record is from RefSeq and is a predicted model, not a curated record. Lineage: Eukaryota; Metazoa; Chordata; Mammalia; Artiodactyla; Camelidae.
GGGCGCGCGCUUUCCGCUCUCCCGCGCUCCCGAACCUCGCACCGGCGGCCGGCGUCUCUCGCUCAGCCCCGCCGAAGCCAUGGCCAAGUCCAGGGGUCGUCCGCACCUGUGGAUGUGCUUGGCUGCAGCGCUGGCCUCUUUCCUGGGCGGAUUUCUGGUGGGCUGGCUUAGUAAGCCUCUCAAAGAAACAGCCACUUCAGUGAGCCCUCACCAAAAUGUAAGGGGCGAACUGCUGUCUGAGAUGAAAGCUGAAAAUAUUAAAUCAUUUCUUCGCACCACACUGUCUUGAUUAUUGAAGCUACGUGGUAAGCCGUAACAAGGCAUCGACUGAUUCCUCCCACUGUGUUCUUUUAAACAAUUGUUUUAGCUAUUCUAUAUCAUUUGCCUUUUAAUAUAAAAUAUAUAAUAAAUAUGUAUAUGUCUGGAAAAAUUCUUGCUGGGACUUUGAUAAUAAUUGCAUUAAUCUUAUAGAGCAGUUUAGGAGUGCUUGGCAUUUUUACUAUGUCUAGUCUUUCAAUCCAUGAACAUGGUAAGUCUCUCCAAUUAUUUAGGUCUUCCUUUAUUAACAUUUUGCAAUUUUCAGGAUGCAGAUCCUAUACACGUAUUGUUAUAUUUAUAUCAAACUAUGUCAUUUUCUUUGCAGCAAAUGUAAAUCAUAUUGUGUUUAAUUUCAGUUUUCACAUGUUUGUUGUUAGUAUAUAGAAACACUGUUGAUUUUGCAUCAUCUGGCCUGCCUAAACUCAUGUCCUAGUUCUAGGAGUUUUUGUAGAUUCAUUAGGAUUUAUUUUCUGUGUAAGAAAUCAGGCCAUCUUCAAAUAGGGACAAUUUUAUCUCUCUGUUUCCAAACUGUAUGCCAUAUUUAUAUAUAUUGCUUUAUAUAUAUAUAUAGCUUUAUAUUUAUAUAUAUAUAAAUUUGUCCCUAUUGUGCUGGUUGUAAUUCCAAUACUGUGUUGAAUAAAAAUGAUGAGAGCAGACAUUCUUUCCCUGUUUCUAAUCUUAGUGAGAAGCAUUCAGAGUUUCACCAUUAACUGUGAUGCUAUCUG